AGGGGAUAUGGCGAAUCCGGUAGAA
RNAcentral lists this transfer RNA (25 nucleotides) under Poa sp. HXZ-2013. RNAcentral describes it as "partial tRNA-Leu". The record is from RNAcentral. Lineage: Eukaryota; Viridiplantae; Streptophyta; Magnoliopsida; Poales; Poaceae.